AUGGGCUGGGGUGGCGGCCAAGCAGCCAGAGUUGUUGCACGGAAGACCGCCUCGCUGGUGGAGCUCACCAGCUCCGUCAUGGAGCUUGGCGUCGUCGGAGGCCCGUUCAGCAACGUCGGCCUUCUCGAGCUCCUGCUGGUCGCCUCGACGCCCGAGGGCUCUGCCCUAGCUCCACCCGCCAGCGCGGUGGGUCGAGCUCCAGGAGAGGAAGAAGGCGCAUGCACGCGCCGGCGUCCGCUGGAUCCAACUCGACCUCCCCUCACCGUGCAGCUUGGCGGAGGAACUGCGCUAAUCUUCUUCUUGAUGCACGUGGGCAGCGUGUUCAUACAUGUUCGUCAGUCCGCCGCCGGUGGCGCCGAGGCUGUGCUCGACAUAAUAAUGCUGCUGAAGACCGACACAACAUGA
Molecule: ribosomal RNA, 405 nt
Filed under: Triticum aestivum (bread wheat)
Lineage: Eukaryota; Viridiplantae; Streptophyta; Magnoliopsida; Poales; Poaceae
Description: partial small subunit ribosomal RNA
Source: RNAcentral